Molecule: ribosomal RNA, 1158 nt
Filed under: Triticum aestivum (bread wheat)
Lineage: Eukaryota; Viridiplantae; Streptophyta; Magnoliopsida; Poales; Poaceae
Description: partial small subunit ribosomal RNA
Source: RNAcentral
AUGAAGUACCCGCACCUCCCGCCGCGCCGGGCCGGCCCCUGCGGCUGCGGCUACCUGGCCGCCUUCGUCGCGCUCAUCGUCAUCACCUCGCUCCAGAUCCACCACCACCACCUCAAGGUGGAUCUCGGCAGGUCCGACUACGCCGCGGCCACCGCCACGCAGCAGCGGCGCAGGGAGGGGGACGGCGGCAAGGCGGCGGCCCGCUGGAACUGGAACCGGAGGACCGGCGCCGAGGGCCUGCCGCGCGGGAUCGUCCAGACCAGCUCCGACAUGUUCCUCCGUCCGCUCUGGGACCCCGCCGCCAGCCGCGCCAUCCCCAAGAAUAAGAAUGAUAGACACAAAGCUCUCCUGGCGAUGGCGGUCGGGAUCUCGCAGAUGCAGAAUGUGGACGUAAUGGCUCGUAAGUUUCUGAAUGAGAGCUACACGGUCAUGCUGUUCCAUUAUGACGGGAACGUGGAUGGGUGGCGUAGCCUCGAGUGGAGCGAUAAGGCCAUACACAUAGUUGCGCCCAACCAAACUAAAUGGUGGUUUGCCAAGCGUUUUCUGCAUCCUAGUGUUGUGGCUAUCUACGAUUUCAUCUUUUUGUGGGAUGAAGACCUUGGUGUGGAGAACUUUGAUCCGAAGAGGUAUAUUGAUAUAAUGGUGUCCGAAGGCUUAGAAAUCACACAACCCGCAUUGGAUCCUGAUCUAUCAACAGAUAUUCACCACCGCAUCACAAUCCGCAACAAGAUGACAAAAGUGCAUAGGAGAGUAUAUGACAAUCGUUCAAGCAUGAACUGUUCUGAUGAUAGUAAAGGACCUCCAUGCACAGGGUGGGUUGAGGGCAUGGCACCAGUUUUUUCUCGUGCUGCCUGGAAAUGCGUAUGGCAUCUAAUACAGAAUGACUUGAUUCAUGGAUGGGGCCUUGACAUGAAGCUUGGUUAUUGUGCUCAGGGUGAUCGAGCUGAGAAGGUCGGUGUAAUUGACAGUGAGUAUGUCGUCCAUCAAGGGAUACCAUCAUUAGGAGGACCAUCAGAUACCAGCAAGUUACCUCGAAGAUCUUUGGAUUUGCGGACACACAUUAGAAGACAGUCGUCGGCAGAGCUGGAAAAGUUCAAAGAACGGUGGGAAAAAGCCGUAAGGGAAGAUGAGGAGUGGAUGGAUCCUUUUGACGCCUGA